RNAcentral lists this ribosomal RNA (497 nucleotides) under uncultured bacterium. Its description in RNAcentral is "partial 16S ribosomal RNA". It matches the Rfam family "Bacterial small subunit ribosomal RNA", at positions 28 to 507 of the family's 1533-position model. The record is from RNAcentral.
GAUGAACGCUGGCGGCGUGCCUAAUACAUGCAAGUCGAGCGAAUAGAUGAGGAGCUUGCUCCUCUGACGUUAGCGGCGGACGGGUGAGUAACACGUGGAUAACCUACCUAUAAGACUGGGAUAACUACGGGAAACCGGAGCUAAUACCGGAUAAUAUAUUGAACCGCAUGGUUCAAUAGUGAAAGACGGUUUUGCUGUCACUUAUAGAUGGAUCCGCGCCGCAUUAGCUAGUUGGUAAGGUAACGGCUUACCAAGGCAACGAUGCGUAGCCGACCUGAGAGGGUGAUCGGCCACACUGGAACUGAGACACGGUCCAGACUCCUACGGGAGGCAGCAGUAGGGAAUCUUCCGCAAUGGGCGAAAGCCUGACGGAGCAACGCCGCGUGAGUGAUGAAGGUCUUCGGAUCGUAAAACUCUGUUAUUAGGGAAGAACAAAUGUGUAAGUAACUAUGCACGUCUUGACGGUACCUAAUCAGAAAGCCACGGCUAACUACGUG